CAAGCCUUCAGUCCUUGUACCUUUUAGGAUGUAGGGACACCCAGAGAACAGCCCUCAAUAAGAUCUGGAAAGAAGAGCUGUCACCACAGACUUAGAAAAAUAAUAGGUUAUUCCCCUGUCCUGAGUUCUGCUUGAAAAACUGAGAGUUCUAGAACUUUGCAAAAGCUCCUCUAUUGUUCCAAGAUGAGCAUUUUUCUGGGGUGAACUGGGCAGAGGUUUGACUGGCAAGCAGCUCUGGGUGUACAUUUCAUCCAAGAGUCUCAUGGUGGUCGAAGGAGAUCCCCAGAUGCAAAAUCAAAGUUGCUUGGAUUUCCAUUUCUUCCCCAUCUAGGAAAAGGGCAAUGGAAUCAAAGCCUUUAAAAAAUGUAGUAAGAGAAAGACUCUCUAAUUGAUCAGAACCUUCUGGCAACCAGCACUUUGGCCCAUCUACUGAAAAAUACUUUAUCAGUGUCUUUAGUAAAGGCCCCCAAGAUGCACAAUACAUUUUUGGUUGUUGAAAUAGAGUGUCUUCUAAGUCAUCAAGUAAAAGAGAAAUUCUGCUCAGAAGACUUUUGGAUAGUACCCAACAUUUGGUGAGGCUUACUAUAUUACAUGCAUUACCUCGCUAAAUCACCACAUUAGAACACUUACAGGUUAUGACAAAACAAGAAGGCCCUUACAAGAUGCCAGCACCUUGAUCUUGAACUUCUCAGACUCCAGAACUGUAAGCCAAUAAAUUUCUGUUCUUCAUAAA
Molecule: long non-coding RNA, 733 nt
Filed under: Homo sapiens (human)
Lineage: Eukaryota; Metazoa; Chordata; Mammalia; Primates; Hominidae
Description: HSALNT0386110
Source: RNAcentral